AGAGUAGAAUAUUGAUUACGUUUUAAGGGAGGCAGGGGUUUUAGGCAGGAUUUGAUUCAUGAUGUGUGUGUAGAUAUUAAUGUUAGGGGACAAUGUGAGAGUGUACGUUUUAGUAGGAAAACGUAUUAUCUGACCCACAUUCCGGAACAGAAGAGGGCGGUAAUGCACCAAUAAGCUGGAUGCCAACCGCCGUUAAACUGGAAAGAAGACGAAUAUGACAGCUUGCUGUGAGAGACAACGGGACAGAUGAGACACAUAUGUGUUUAUCUGCUGUAGAGUAACUGAUGAAGGAAUGCUACCAUCAAAGGAUUUGUAUCUUUUGUGGUGGAACAGGACCUGCAAAGAAAGGUGAAAAAGAGGGAAAACCUGAAACAAAAGAAUAAUGUAGUCGUGCUCAUGGGGUGCAGGCACACGAAAGUUUGGAGCAGACACAGCAGUCAGAUUGUCCUGCACGUGUUCUUCUUCUCUCGCUUCAAGGUUGUGUGGUUCAGAGAGCCGUCAUCAAGGUCUUCCUCAUCCUGUUGCUCAACGACAUCCCCAUUGAGAAGAGUGAGAUUGUGAAGUGCAGCGGCAGAACUGUAUCAGCUGUGUUCAGAUGGCGGGAGGAUGUUGGGUUCACCAUCUGUAAAUACUUGAUUGUUAGAACAAUACGUUUGAAUGAAGCUUUGUAUCAUGUGUUGUUGACUUGUGCAUGUAUGCAUUUAUUGUGAUGCUAACUUUUAUACAUUAUUUUAAUCAUUUAGACAUA
Molecule: long non-coding RNA, 748 nt
Organism: Carassius auratus (goldfish)
Lineage: Eukaryota; Metazoa; Chordata; Actinopteri; Cypriniformes; Cyprinidae
Exons: 4
Source: RefSeq, a predicted model, not a curated record